GGGCGAAAGCCUGAUGCAGCGACGCCGCGUGGGGGAUGACGGCCUUCGGGUUGUAAACCCCUUUCAGUAGGGAAGAAGCGAGAGUGACGGUACCUGCAGAAGAAGCGCCGGCUAACUACGUGCCAGCAGCCGCGGUAAUACGUAGGGCGCAAGCGUUGUCCGGAAUUAUUGGGCGUAAAGAGCUUGUAGGUGGCUUGUCGCGUCUGCCGUGAAAACCCGAGGCUCAACCUCGGGCGUGCGGUGGGUACGGGCAGGCUAGAGUGUGGUAGGGGAGACUGGAACUCCUGGUGUAGCGGUGAAAUGCGCAGAUAUCAGGAAGAACACCGAUGGCGAAGGCAGGUCUCUGGGCCAUUACUGACACUGAGAAGCGAAAGCAUGGGUAGCGAACAGGAUUAGAUACCCUGGUAGUCCAUGCCGUAAACGUUGGGCACUAGGUGUGGGGGACAUUCCACGUUUUCCGCGCCGUAGCUAACGCAUUAAGUGCCCCGCCUGGGGAGUACGGCCGCAAGGCUAAAACUCAAAGGAAUUGACGGGGGCCCGCACAAGCGGCGGAGCAUGCUGAUUAAUUCGAUGCAACGCGAAGAACCUUACCAAGGCUUGACAUGCACUGGACGGCUGCAGAGAUGUGGCUUUCUUUGGACUGGUGCACAGGUGGUGCAUGGUUGUCGUCAGCUCGUGUCGUGAGAUGUUGGGUUAAGUCCCGCAACGAGCGCAACCCUCGUUCUAUGUUGCCAGCACGUGAUGGUGGGGACUCAUAGGAGACUGCCGGGGUCAACUCGGAGGAAGGUGGGGACGACGUC
Molecule: ribosomal RNA, 800 nt
Filed under: Brachybacterium sp. MN32
Lineage: Bacteria; Bacillati; Actinomycetota; Actinomycetes; Micrococcales; Dermabacteraceae
Description: bacterial SSU rRNA
Rfam family: Bacterial small subunit ribosomal RNA
Source: RNAcentral